RNAcentral lists this ribosomal RNA (253 nucleotides) under uncultured bacterium. Its description in RNAcentral is "partial 16S ribosomal RNA". It matches the Rfam family "Bacterial small subunit ribosomal RNA", at positions 524 to 776 of the family's 1533-position model. The record is from RNAcentral.
UACAGAGGGUGCAAGCGUUAAUCGGAGUUACUGGGCGUAAAGGGCGCGUAGGCGGUCUUACAAGUGAGAUGUGAAAUCCCCGGGCUUAACCUGGGAACUGCAUCUUAAACUGUAAGGCUGGAGUACUGUAGAGGAUAGUGGAAUUUCCGGUGUAGCGGUGAAAUGCGUAGAGAUCGGAAGGAACACCAGUGGCGAAGGCGACUGUCUGGACAGAUACUGACGCUGAGGCGCGAAAGCCAGGGGAGCAAACGGG